AUAGAUCCCGUCUAUUCGUUUCCACAAGAUUCCUGCUCGUAGGGGUGAGGGAAGAGUUCUCAGCGCUCCGUGUAUGAGUAACAUUAGAUUCUAGGAUCAGGAUUCUUCCCAGAGAAGUCAGUGGAGUUCAUAGACCUCCAGGAGGGAGGAGAACGUGUGGGUCAUUUAUUGAAUGGAGGCGAUGAUGGUCCCCUAAAUGGUGUUUUUGGAGGCCUCGAUGAUCAACUUGUUGGUGGUUUCCAUGCAGGAGGCAAUGGUGGUCUUGGUCUUCGUCGCAGAUACUUGGGCAAACAAAACUUCACAUAGUUUUGGAACUCAGGAUCCCAACACCGAUGAGUCCGACACCGAACAAAUGGAUCACAUGACGAUUUUCUGAAAAUUCUCUUAAUCGUCUCUUUACAGAUUUCUCUAAUUCUUUAUCGUUGAUUGUUACCAAAUUUUCUCUCUUCUAAUCAAAUCUUAUAUCAGAAAAUUAAUUUUCUUCUAAUCAAACUUUAAAUCAAUA
Hyla sarda is the source of this 505-nucleotide long non-coding RNA. RefSeq lists it as uncharacterized. The record is from RefSeq and is a predicted model, not a curated record. The transcript is spliced from 3 exons. Lineage: Eukaryota; Metazoa; Chordata; Amphibia; Anura; Hylidae.